RNAcentral lists this ribosomal RNA (460 nucleotides) under uncultured bacterium. RNAcentral's name for it is "partial 16S ribosomal RNA". It matches the Rfam family "Bacterial small subunit ribosomal RNA", at positions 338 to 795 of the family's 1533-position model. The record is from RNAcentral.
CCUACGGGUGGCAGCAGUGAGGAAUAUUGGUCAAUGGGCGUAAGCCUGAACCAGCCAAGUCGCGUGAGGGAUGAAGGUUCUAUGGUUCGUAAACCUCUUUUAUAAGGGAAUAAAGUGUGGGACGUGUCCUAUUUUGUAUGUACCUUAUGAAUAAGGAUCGGCUAACUCCGUGCCAGCCGCAGCGGUAAUACGGAGGAUCCGAGCGUUGUCCGGAUUUACUGGGUUUAAAGGGUGCGUAGGCGGCUUUUUAAGUCAGCGGUGAAAGUCUGUGGCUCAACCCUAGAAUUGCCGUUGAAACUGGGGAGCUUGAGUAUGUUUGAGGCAGGCGGAAUGCGUGGUGUAGCGGUGAAAGGCGUAGAUAUCACGCAGAACCCCGAUGGCGAAGGCAGCCUGCCAAGCCAUGACUGACGCUGAUGCACGAAAGCGUGGGGAUCAAACAGGAUUAGAUACCCGGGUAGUC